UGGGGAAUUUUGGACAAUGGGCGAAAGCCUGAUCCAGCCAUGCCGCGUGAGUGAAGAAGGCCUUCGGGUUGUAAAGCUCUUUUAGUCGGAAAGAAAGAGUUGCAAUGAAUAAUUGUGAUUUAUGACGGUACCGACAGAAAAAGCACCGGCUAACUACGUGCCAGCAGCCGCGGUAAUACGUAGGGUGCGAGCGUUAAUCGGAAUUACUGGGCGUAAAGGGUGCGCAGGCGGUCUUGCAAGUCAGAUGUGAAAGCCCCGGGCUUAACCUGGGAAUUGCGUUUGAAACUACAGGGCUAGAGUGCAGCAGAGGGGAGUGGAAUUCCAUGUGUAGCAGUGAAAUGCGUAGAGAUGUGGAAGAACACCGAUGGCGAAGGCAGCCCCCUGGGUUAACACUGACGCUCAUGCACGAAAGCGUGGGGAGCAAACA
This 427-nucleotide ribosomal RNA is filed under the name uncultured beta proteobacterium. RNAcentral describes it as "bacterial SSU rRNA". It matches the Rfam family "Bacterial small subunit ribosomal RNA", at positions 355 to 774 of the family's 1533-position model. Lineage: Bacteria; Pseudomonadati; Pseudomonadota; Betaproteobacteria. The record is from RNAcentral.